RNAcentral lists this ribosomal RNA (255 nucleotides) under uncultured bacterium. RNAcentral describes it as "partial 16S ribosomal RNA". It matches the Rfam family "Bacterial small subunit ribosomal RNA", at positions 524 to 776 of the family's 1533-position model. The record is from RNAcentral.
UACAGGGGGGGCAAGCGUUGUUCGGAAUUACUGGGCGUAAAGGGUCUGUAGGUGGCCAACUAAGUCAGACGUGAAAUCCCUCAGCUUAACUGGGGAACUGCGUCUGAUACUGGAUGGCUUGAGUGUGGGAGAGGAAUGCGGAAUUCCAGGUGUAGCGGUGGAAUGCAUAGAGAUCGGGAAGAACACCCGUGGCGAAGGCGGCCGGGCUGGGCCGGGAUCCGACGCUGAGGCGCGAAAGCGUGGGGAGCAAACAGG